This 281-nucleotide ribosomal RNA is filed under the name Gammaproteobacteria bacterium. Its description in RNAcentral is "partial 16S ribosomal RNA". It matches the Rfam family "Bacterial small subunit ribosomal RNA", at positions 1 to 287 of the family's 1533-position model. The record is from RNAcentral. Lineage: Bacteria; Pseudomonadati; Pseudomonadota; Gammaproteobacteria.
AAACUGAAGAGUUUGAUCAUGGCUCAGAUUGAACGCUGGCGGCAAGCCUUACACAUGCAAGUCGAGCGCGAAAGGUCUUCGGACUGAGUAGAGCGGCGGACGGGUGAGUAACGCGUAGAAAUCUGCCUGGUAGUGGGGGACAACUUGGGGAAACCCAAGCUAAUACCGGAUGUGGUCUACGGACUAAAGGAGGGGAUCUUCGGACCUUCCGCUAAUAGAUGAGCCCGCGUUAGAUUAGCUAGAUGGUGGGGUAAAGGCCUACCAUGGCUACGAUCUAUAGC